GACGAACGCUGGCGGCGUGCCUAAUACAUGCAAGUCGAGCGAAUCACUGGGAGCUUGCUCCCGGUGGUUAGCGGCGGACGGGUGAGUAACACGUGGGCAACCUGCCUGUAAGGCUGGGAUAACACCGGGAAACCGGUGCUAAUACCGGAUAAUCCUUUUCCUCUCAUGAGGAAAAGCUGAAAGUCGGUUUCGGCUGACACUUACAGAUGGGCCCGCGGCGCAUUAGCUAGUUGGUGAGGUAACGGCUCACCAAGGCGACGAUGCGUAGCCGACCUGAGAGGGUGAUCGGCCACACUGGGACUGAGACACGGCCCAGACUCCUACGGGAGGCAGCAGUAGGGAAUCUUCCACAAUGGACGAAAGUCCUGAUGGAGCAACGCCGCGUGAGCGAUGAAGGCCUGGGUCGUAAAGCUCUGUUGUUAGGGAAGAACAAGUACCGGAGU
RNAcentral lists this ribosomal RNA (443 nucleotides) under uncultured bacterium. RNAcentral describes it as "bacterial SSU rRNA". It matches the Rfam family "Bacterial small subunit ribosomal RNA", at positions 28 to 462 of the family's 1533-position model. The record is from RNAcentral.